Molecule: ribosomal RNA, 468 nt
Filed under: uncultured bacterium
Lineage: Bacteria
Description: partial 16S ribosomal RNA
Rfam family: Bacterial small subunit ribosomal RNA
Source: RNAcentral
GACGAACGCUGGCGGCGUGCUUAACACAUGCAAGUCGAACGGAAAGGCCCUGCUUUUGUGGGGUGCUCGAGUGGCGAACGGGUGAGUAACACGUGAGUAACCUGCCCUUGACUUUGGGAUAACUUCAGGAAACUGGGGCUAAUACCGGAUAGGAGCUCCUGCUGCAUGGUGGGGGUUGGAAAGUUUCGGCGGUUGGGGAUGGACUCGCGGCCUAUCAGCUUGUUGGUGGGGUAGUGGCUUACCAAGGCUAUGACGGGUGGCCGGCCUGAGAGGGUGACCGGCCACAUUGGGACUGGGAUACGGCCCAGACUCCUACGGGAGGCAGCAGUGGGGAAUAUUGCACAAUGGGCGGAAGCCUGAUGCAGCAACGCCGCGUGCGGGAUGACGGCCUUCGGGUUGUAAACCGCUUUCGCCUGUGACGAAGCGUGAGUGACGGUAAUGGGUAAAGAAGCACCGGCUAACUACGUG